This 1170-nucleotide ribosomal RNA is filed under the name Mesorhizobium sp. Its description in RNAcentral is "partial 23S ribosomal RNA". It matches the Rfam family "Bacterial large subunit ribosomal RNA", at positions 1 to 1213 of the family's 2925-position model. Lineage: Bacteria; Pseudomonadati; Pseudomonadota; Alphaproteobacteria; Hyphomicrobiales; Phyllobacteriaceae. The record is from RNAcentral.
GUUAUAUGGUCAAGUGAAGAAGCGCAUACGGUGGAUGCCUUGGCAGUCAGAGGCGAUGAAAGACGUGGUAGCCUGCGAAAAGCUUCGGGGAGUCGGCAAACAGACUUUGAUCCGGAGAUGUCUGAAUGGGGGAACCCAGCCAUCACAAGAUGGUUAUCUUGUACUGAAUACAUAGGUGCAAGAGGCGAACCAGGGGAACUGAAACAUCUAAGUACCCUGAGGAAAAGAAAUCAACCGAGAUUCCCUUAGUAGUGGCGAGCGAACGGGGACUAGCCCUUAAGCUUCUUUGAUUUUAGCGGAACGCUCUGGAAAGUGCGGCCAUAGUGGGUGAUAGCCCUGUACGCGAAAGGAUCUUAGAAGUGAAAUCGAGUAGGACGGAGCACGAGAAACUUUGUCUGAAUAUGGGGGGACCAUCCUCCAAGGCUAAAUACUACUGACUGACCGAUAGUGAACUAGUACCGUGAGGGAAAGGCGAAAAGAACCCCGGAGAGGGGAGUGAAAUAGAUCCUGAAACCGUAUGCGUACAAGCAGUGGGAGCCCACUUUGUUGGGUGACUGCGUACCUUUUGUAUAAUGGGUCAGCGACUUAUUUUCAGUGGCGAGCUUAACCGAAUAGGGGAGGCGUAGCGAAAGCGAGUCUUAAUAGGGCGUCUAGUCGCUGGGAAUAGACCCGAAACCGGGCGAUCUAUCCAUGGGCAGGUUGAAGGUUAGGUAACACUGACUGGAGGACCGAACCGACUACCGUUGAAAAGUUAGCGGAUGACCUGUGGAUCGGAGUGAAAGGCUAAUCAAGCUCGGAGAUAGCUGGUUCUCCUCGAAAGCUAUUUAGGUAGCGCCUCAUGUAUCACUGUAGGGGGUAGAGCACUGUUUCGGCUAGGGGGUCAUCCCGACUUACCAAACCGAUGCAAACUCCGAAUACCUACAAGUGCCGAGCAUGGGAGACACACGGCGGGUGCUAACGUCCGUCGUGAAAAGGGAAACAACCCAGACCGUCAGCUAAGGUCCCAAAGUUAUGGUUAAGUGGGAAACGAUGUGGGAAGGCUUAGACAGCUAGGAGGUUGGCUUAGAAGCAGCCACCCUUUAAAGAAAGCGUAAUAGCUCACUAGUCGAGUCGGCCUGCGCGGAAGAUGUAACGGGGCUCAAACCAUACACCGAAGCUACGGGUAUCACG